This 408-nucleotide ribosomal RNA is filed under the name uncultured bacterium. RNAcentral's name for it is "partial 16S ribosomal RNA". It matches the Rfam family "Bacterial small subunit ribosomal RNA", at positions 28 to 526 of the family's 1533-position model. The record is from RNAcentral.
GACGAACGCUGGCGGCGUGCUUAACACAUGCAAGUCGAACGAAGUGGCGAACGGGUGAGUAACGCGUAAUCAACCUGCCCUUCAGAGGGGGACAACAGUUGGAAACGACUGCUAAUACCGCAUCCUGAAGGCGGGGAUUGCGUCUGAUUAGCUAGUUGGAGGGGUAACGGCCCACCAAGGCGAUGAUCAGUAGCCGGUCUGAGGGGGUGAACGGGCACAUUGGGGCUGCGACACGGCCAAGACUCCUACGGGAGGCAGCAGUGGGGAAUCUUCCGCAAUGGACGAAAGUCUGACGGAGCAACGCCGCGUGAGUGAUGACGGCCUUCGGGUUGUAAAGCUCUGUUGAUCGGGACGCGGUACCGGAAUAGAAAGCCACGGCUAACUACGUGCCAGCAGCCGCGGUAAUUC